GACGAACGCUGGCGGCGUGCUUAACACAUGCAAGUCGAACGGAAAGGCCCUGCUUUUGUGGGGUGCUCGAGUGGCGAACGGGUGAGUAACACGUGAGUAACCUGCCCUUGACUUUGGGAUAACUUCAGGAAACUGGGGCUAACACCGGAUAGGAGCUCCUGCUGCAUGGUGGUGGUUGGAAAGUUUCGGCGGUUGGGGAUGGACUCGCGGCUUAUCAGCUUGUUGGUGGGGUAGUGGCUUACCAAGGCUUUGACGGGUAGCCGGCCUGAGAGGGUGACCGGCCACAUUGGGACUGAGAGACGGACCAGAGUCCUACGGGAGGCAGCAGUGGGGAAUAUUGCACAAUGGGCGGAAGCGUGAUGCAGCAACGCCGCGUGCGGGAUGACGGCCUUCGGGUUGUAAACCGCUUUCGCCUGUGACGAAGCGUGAGUGACGGUAAUGUAUAAAGAAGCACCGGCUAACUACGUG
RNAcentral lists this ribosomal RNA (468 nucleotides) under uncultured bacterium. RNAcentral describes it as "partial 16S ribosomal RNA". It matches the Rfam family "Bacterial small subunit ribosomal RNA", at positions 28 to 507 of the family's 1533-position model. The record is from RNAcentral.